CAAUGCCAGACCGAGUAAGCGAGAGCCGAAAGCAGGGCGAGAAGAGGAAGGAAGGCGCGACCGUCGGCCUCAGCGCCGUAAAUAUGCACCCCGCGCGGGGAGCCGGACGCUUCUUGCAUGGCCGGGCGCUCCGGCGCUCAGCCCGGUUUCAUGGCCUCCCCGCAAGCGGCUGUUCGAGCGCCAUUGCUAGCCGUGCGGGGUGCCUUCCAUGAACUCAGACGAU
Molecule: non-coding RNA, 223 nt
Filed under: unclassified sequences
Description: RT-2 RNA
Rfam family: RT-2 RNA
About the family: Coriobacteriales (Actinobacteria), Clostridiales (Firmicutes). Downstream gene
Source: Rfam by way of RNAcentral